GAUGAAGAACGUAGCGAAAUGCGAUACUUGGUGUGAAUUGCAGAAUCCCGUGAACCAUCGAGUCUUUGAACGCAAGUUGCGCCCGAAGCCGUCAGGCCGAGGGCACGCCUGCCUGGGCGUCACACGCCGUUGCCCCCCCGCGCCCCGCACCCAACUCUUUGGGAGCGACCGCGGGGCGGGCUGAUGAUGGCCUCCCGUGCGCUCCGCCGCGCGGUUGGCCCAAAUACCGAGUCCCCGGCGACGUGCGCCACGACGAUCGGUGGUUGAGAGACCUCUGUCGCAAGUCGUGCGCGCCCGUCGCGUCACGCGGGCUCGCAUAGCGCCUCGCGCCGCACCCGGUGCGGAGCUUUCAACGCGACCCCAGGUCAGGCGGGGUUACCCGCUGAAUUUAAGCAUAUCAUAAGCGGAGGA
RNAcentral lists this unclassified non-coding RNA (411 nucleotides) under soil metagenome. RNAcentral's name for it is "partial contains 5.8S ribosomal RNA, internal transcribed spacer 2, and large subunit ribosomal RNA". The stretch from base 1 to 122 matches the Rfam family "5.8S ribosomal RNA", at positions 35 to 154 of the family's 154-position model. The record is from RNAcentral.